RNAcentral lists this long non-coding RNA (2411 nucleotides) under Oryzias javanicus (javanese ricefish). RNAcentral describes it as "lncRNA (ENSOJAG00000015639.1)". Lineage: Eukaryota; Metazoa; Chordata; Actinopteri; Beloniformes; Adrianichthyidae. The record is from RNAcentral.
AGUUCAGAGUUUAAGUCAAAAACAGAAGAAAAACAGUUAAAACAAAAUCUGAGUAGCAACAUUCUAUCAGUUUCACAUGUCAGUAAUGAGCUGACAAUCCAAAGGAUAUUCACACAGCAGAUCCCAGACCCUGAAGUGAACGCUACCUCUCUGUUUCAGAUAAUCCCAGUCUCUUUUGCACCUACAGCCAGGAAAGUUGAUAGUAAUAACACUAAAGCAAAUUCCAGAUUACUGCUUGCCACUGUGAGUGAGAACGGGGCAAUCACUAAAAAGCAAUCUCAGGCUGCUGUUGCACAUACAAUGCACUCCCAUAAUCAUACGCCGUCUUUGUCAGAGACGCAGCCUCUCAUUGCCGCCGCUGCAGGAAAAGUCACUCCUGCUGCGGAAAGACAAAGCAGAACUGAAACGCUGAGUGUGGGGCGUCCUCAGCAUCCGAUUUUUGCUCAGGCUACUGAACAAAGCCAGCACAUCCAGCCUGCUAUGACGGCUGCAUCGUAUCCCGAUAAUGAAGCAGAUGCAGACAGCACAGCAGGAUCUUUGAGGACUGUCCACAGAGCUGGAAGGGCACAUCUGGAAGCAUCUGCUGUGGGUGAAAUGAUGAACUUUUCUUUAUUUCAAGAUGUCAGAUCAGCUCAGAAUUCAUCGACGGUGGAUGAAUCCAAACAUGGGUCACUUGAGAGGAUUUUAUUAGAUCUCACGAUGGAUAAAAGAGGACAUAAGAAGCAGCCAUUGCCUAAAAAGGGGAAUGCGAACGCUACGACUGAUUUUGUUCGACCAGUAGGGGUCUUAUCCACAGACGACAUCUACAAAACUACUGACAAAACAUAUACAGGGAAUGUGACUAAAAUCCUCUAUGGAAUGACAAAAAGAAACCCUAUCGUUUUGGAAAACUGUACCUCUGGCUGUGCUGUAGAUGGAAAUUUAACCAACAUCAAACUCUACCAUUCACCAGACACCAGUAAAUCCACACGUGACCAUGCAAGUGUUGAUGAGACAAUGUCAAAAACGGCCACGAGUCCAUCAGACAACAACACUCGUUUGGAAAGUCACAGGUCACCUCCGUGGACUCAGUUUGUGAAAAGACCAACUCAAAGACACUUUCCCACAGAGAUCCUUGCAACAAAGGCCACUCUCUCUGAACCUGAAACAAUGACUGUCCAGACCCCAAUCAAGUCUACUGAGCAGGCACUGCUGACGGAAAAUCACAGCAAGAAACUAUUGCACAGAGGAGCAGGCGGAGAUGGGAUAUUUGAAGCACAGAGUGUCAGCGGGUCAGCUAAAGCACAGAAGAGAAGUCCACAGGCUCAGAGCAGGUCCUUGCUGUCAGAGCUGAAGCAGAUCUCGCCACAUCUCUACCUUUCAGGUGUUACAGAAGUUUCAGAUGACUCAUGUGGCACUGGAAACUACACAGCAGAAAUGAGUCUGAACCUCGGAAAGAGUGUUGAUCCCGGCGAUGCCCUUCCAACCCAGGGCAGCCUGAAGGUGGUUAUUAACCUGAAGACAAACAACAGUCAAAUAAACCUCGCUGUCACAUCCUGCUGUCUGUCCCCAACCAUUCAGCCUGACCUCACCAACUCUACCUGCUGUCUUUUCUCCAGGUUAGCAUCGCAGCCGACGGGUAUCACUCUGCUCCCCAGUGCCUUGUCGACAACUGCCGGCUUCACCAUCAGUCUCUUUCAAAUGAUUAAUUACUCGCUAGUGUACCUACACUGUGAUCUCAGUGUCUGCCUGAGGAACCGCUCUGACUGUGAAAGGCGAUGCUUUGAGCAGAGGAAGGCGUUUUCCUCCAAGGAUCUACGCGCUAUUGUCACCAAUCUCAGAAAUCGCAUAUCUUUUGGGCCCAUGUUGAAGCAAGCAAAGAAUUCCACCCUCCCAGAGGAGAUAGACCCAUCAGAGCUGGAACUGGUUGUUGUCAUUAUCAGCCUGGUGGCUGGCUCCUCUCUUUUCGCUGUGACGCUGCUUCUGGUUUGGCUGGCCUAUCGUCACAGAGCAAUCUGGCCACUUCAGUCGGCAGCUCCACCUCCAGCAUGCUGCGGCUGUCGACGCCCAGGAGGCGAUUUGAUCGUACCGUGACCAGGGAGGAACUGCUGCCAAUUACCCUGAUCAAGUCUCCACCAAAAUAGCGGCAGACAAUUACAUUAGUCAACAGACAGUGGAGCAGUCAAUCAUAUUUGCCAGUAAGCAGAAGCAGCCAGUUUGAUCGGCCGAUAUAAGAAAGAAUAGACAAUGAGGAGCAAUCCAAUUGACACCUCCUCUUAUAGGUGACACAGCUGUUGCAGUCAAAUUUCACACUUAACCAUGAGCAGUCUAUUAUCAUUCACUAGAAAUAAACAGCAUCUCUAAAUAGAAAGCCUGCACUGAUCCCUUUAUUUCUUCCUCAGUAACACAAAUCAAUGUUUGCUGUAAGCCAC